RNAcentral lists this long non-coding RNA (348 nucleotides) under Bos taurus (domestic cattle). RNAcentral describes it as "long non-coding RNA NONBTAT001518". Lineage: Eukaryota; Metazoa; Chordata; Mammalia; Artiodactyla; Bovidae. The record is from RNAcentral.
CUAACAAUCACAAGGGUAGAUUGCAAAGUUUAAGACAUCAUGUCAGAAUCAUUCUGUCCAGGAUGGUAGGUAAAAAAAUGAUCGUCUACAUUCAAUGUCUAUUUGGUUGAAAUUUUGCUAAGAGCACUGAAUCCCUCAUCAAAUGGACAGAGGAAUUCCUCUGGAAGAAUGUCUAAUUAUCACUGAUCCAUGAUCCCUCCCCUCAAUUUGGUUCUAACCCAAAGAAAUGUUAUUUAAAAACUUAUCAAAGAGGUUUACAUGGAAAAUAACCACUGACAUCUUGUAAGUAUAAGGCAAUUACAGAUGGAAAUGGCUCAUAAAAUUGAGAAUUCUUUCAUAUGCUCUCUU